UUAAUGUUAUAAUAUUAAAUAAAGCCUGCUCAAUGAUUUAAAUAGCCGCGGAAAAUUUACUGUGCUAAGGUAGCAUAAUCACUUGCCUUUUAAUUAAAGACUAGAAUGAACGGCCUAACAAUUAAAUAAUUUUUUCAAUAAAAUAAAUUUAACUUAUAUUAAGCAUAAAAAUAUGCUUAUCAAUAUAAAAGACGACAAGACCCCGUCGAACUUAACUGAAGUUAAGCUGGGGAAGCUAAUUAAUAAUUACUGUAAAUCCUAUAAUUUAAUCAACACCCUAUAUAAAAUGAAUUAUAAUCAAGUUACCGCGGGGAUAACAGCGUAAUUAAUCUCUAAAGCUCUAAUUUUAAGAAAAGAUUACGACCUCGAUGUUGAAUUAAUUUUCCUCAUUAUCGCAAAAGAUAACCCUGAGUAAGUCUGUUCGACUUUUUAAAAAUUACAU
Molecule: ribosomal RNA, 442 nt
Filed under: Domitius baeticus
Lineage: Eukaryota; Metazoa; Arthropoda; Arachnida; Araneae; Nesticidae
Description: partial 16S ribosomal RNA
Rfam family: Bacterial large subunit ribosomal RNA
Source: RNAcentral